Molecule: ribosomal RNA, 207 nt
Filed under: uncultured bacterium
Lineage: Bacteria
Description: partial 16S ribosomal RNA
Rfam family: Bacterial small subunit ribosomal RNA
Source: RNAcentral
CGCGUAGGUGGUUUGUUAAGUUGGAUGUGAAAGCCCCGGGCUCAACCUGGGAACUGCAUCCAAAACUGGCAAGCUAGAGUACGGUAGAGGGUGGUGGAAUUUCCUGUGUAGCGGUGAAAUGCGUAGAUAUGCGGAGGAACACCGAUGGCGAAGGCAAUCCCCUGGACCUGUACUGACGCUCAUGCACGAAAGCGUGGGGAGCAAACA